GGAGUUUGGGCCGUGUCUCAGUCCCAAUGUGGCCGUUCACCCUCUCAGGCCGGCUACUGAUCGUUGCCUUGGUGGGCCGUUACCUCGCCAACUAGCUAAUCAGACGCGGGUCCAUCUCGCACCACCGGAGUUUUUCACACUGUGUCAUGCGGCACUGUGCGCUUAUGCGGUAUUAGCAGUCGUUUCCGACUGUUAUCCCCCUGUGUGAGGCAGGUUACCCACGCGUUACUCACCCGUCCGCCACUCAGUAAGCAGAAAGUGCAAGCACUCUCGCUUCUUCGUUCAACUUGCAUGUGUUAAGCACGCCGCCAGCGUUCAUC
This 320-nucleotide ribosomal RNA is filed under the name uncultured Coprococcus sp. RNAcentral describes it as "partial 16S ribosomal RNA". The record is from RNAcentral. Lineage: Bacteria; Bacillati; Bacillota; Clostridia; Lachnospirales; Lachnospiraceae.